Molecule: non-coding RNA, 1414 nt
Organism: Salmo salar (Atlantic salmon)
Lineage: Eukaryota; Metazoa; Chordata; Actinopteri; Salmoniformes; Salmonidae
Source: RefSeq, a predicted model, not a curated record
CGAACAGAUGCAGGGGGGGGAAGGGGUGAAGAGGAGGAGGAGGAGGAGGAGGAGGGGGGCAGCUACAGCCUGGUGGCUGUGACCCAAAGCAUAAAGAACUUCAUCAACGCCAUGUCUUCACAUGAGGGGUCCAACUACCCUGGUGAGACAGACGGACUGUCUGUCCACACUGUUCUACUUAGCCCUGUAUCGGUCCCAUUCAAAUGAGCCUUUCGGGUUUGAUCCAGACUCUGGCCAGUGCACUGGACAGACUACUGGGGGCUAAGGAUGAGGAGUUGGAUUCAGAUGAUGAGGAUGAGGCCAUGGAUGGUCCUACUGGACUGUGAGGGGAUGAAGGGGCAGAGUCUUCAGAAGGUCUUAGGAAGUACAUGGAUGAGAUGGACCAUGAGCUUAUGGGCACCAGCAUGGGACAGCUUCAACCAGCAGGGAAGAUGUGAUCGAUAUUUACCACUUCUUGUUGCAGUGUGCAAAUUCUGUAAAGAGUUCUUUGGAAAGAGGAAGGAUUAGGGAUGCAUAAAUUGCAUUAAUUGCAUAUAAAUAUGUAAAAUAACAAUACAAUUCUAUGAUUCCAGCAGGACACCAAUAAAGCAGGCCCAGCAGCCAAUGGCUGCCCUCGUUCCCCCAGCGGGGAGGGUCUGCUGGGUGAGGAUGAGGAGGAGAUCCAGCCCCUGGACAUAGACUUUAAUCUGGUCACUAACCUCCUGGAGUCUCUGACCUCCCAGGCUGGGCUGGCCGGGCCGGCCUCUAACCUUCUGCAGAGUCUGGGCAUCUGCUACCCAAUACUGACCGUUCAUGUCUAACACCUGCCACCCAAUACUGACCGCUCACGAUGAACACCUGCCCUCCAACUCUGACCAUUCAUGCUGAACACCUGCCCUCCAACUCUGACCAUUCAUGCUGAACACCUGCCCUCCAACUCUGACCAUUCAUGCUGAACACCUGCCCUCCAACUCUGACCAUUCAUGCUGAACACCUGCCCUCCAACUCUGACCAUUCAUGCUGAACACCUGCCCUCCAACUCUGACCAUUCAUGAUUAACUCUGACCGCUCAUUAUGCCCUAGCAAAGAAAAUCACCCAACACCUAGUUCAUACUGUCUGCGCAGCCUAGAUACACUGGCCUUUAAACUUUUUGCUCACACAGAGUACACCAUGGACCACACCAGAAUCAGUAAUGUACAUCAGGACAGUGGUUUGACAACUGGAUCAUGUUUGCAAUUCUGAUUCUGAAUGCAGGAUCUAAAAGGUAACUAACCCUAAAAUGUUGUGAUCCUAACGUAGAGGCACUUUCAUCCCUGUUGGAUAUUUGAAUCUGAAUGUCCUAAAUAUAACAUGUAGUUUCAAAUGUGUUUUUUUUGUACAGCACUUAAAUCAUUACUUAGUCAAAUAAUAAAGCCAUUAUUUUUUGGGACAAAA